This 315-nucleotide unclassified non-coding RNA is filed under the name fungal sp. RNAcentral describes it as "partial internal transcribed spacer region". The stretch from base 1 to 46 matches the Rfam family "Eukaryotic small subunit ribosomal RNA", at positions 1786 to 1831 of the family's 1831-position model. Lineage: Eukaryota; Fungi. The record is from RNAcentral.
AAGUCGUAACAAGGUAACCGUAGGUGAACCUGCGGUUGGAUCAUUAAAGAAAUAAUGAGGCUGCAUUCCUUGCCGCGAUGUGAGGUCUGUAUGCCACUUACCCAACCUUUUGUGAACUGUGUUGUCUCUGGCGGCCGGGUGGAUUGGUCAAGUUCAACACUUGACUGUCUGCUUGUCAGCUAGGGUGGCCCUUGGGCCCCCCUUGCCGUGGACAAACCGCCAACUGUGUCCAAACCUAUGCCUUUGAUUCUUGUCUCUGAUGCAUCUGUUAAAAUCAAACAGAAACAACUUUUGGCAACGGAUCUCUUGGCUCUC